AGGCAAGAUGUUGGCAUAGCUGAAUAUAAUGACGUCAGCUGUGCUGCAUGUUGCCAUC
RNAcentral lists this microRNA precursor (58 nucleotides) under Euprymna scolopes. RNAcentral describes it as "Esc-Mir-31_pre stem-loop". Lineage: Eukaryota; Metazoa; Mollusca; Cephalopoda; Sepiida; Sepiolidae. The record is from RNAcentral.